CGGACCGGCGCACGGGUGAGUAACGCGUAUGUAAUCUACCUGUAACAGAGGGAUAACCCGGAGAAAUCCGGACUAAUACCUCAUAGCACAUAUUAUUCGCAUGAAUUUUAUGUUAAAGAGACUCGGUUACAGAUGAACAUGCGUUCCAUUAGCUAGUUGGCGGGGUUACGGCCCACCAAGGCAACAAUGGAUAGGGGUUCUGAGAGGAAGGUCCCCCACACUGGUACUGAGACACGGACCAG
This 242-nucleotide ribosomal RNA is filed under the name uncultured bacterium. Its description in RNAcentral is "partial 16S ribosomal RNA". It matches the Rfam family "Bacterial small subunit ribosomal RNA", at positions 91 to 334 of the family's 1533-position model. The record is from RNAcentral.